RNAcentral lists this ribosomal RNA (427 nucleotides) under uncultured bacterium. Its description in RNAcentral is "bacterial SSU rRNA". It matches the Rfam family "Bacterial small subunit ribosomal RNA", at positions 355 to 774 of the family's 1533-position model. The record is from RNAcentral.
UGGGGAAUAUUGGACAAUGGGCGCAAGCCUGAUCCAGCAAUGCCGCGUGUGUGAAGAAGGCCUUCGGGUUGUAAAGCACUUUUAUCUGGAGCGAAAUCUGCAGGGCUAAUACGCAUGCAGUCUGACGGUACCAGAGGAAUAAGCACCGGCUAACUUCGUGCCAGCAGCCGCGGUAAUACGAAGGGUGCAAGCGUUACUCGGAAUUACUGGGCGUAAAGCGUGCGUAGGUGGUUUGUUAAGUCUGCUGUGAAAGCCCCGGGCUCAACCUGGGAAUUGCAGUGCGUACUGGGAAGCUAGAGUACGGUAGAGGGUAGUGGAAUUCCCUGUGUAGCGGUGAAAUGCGGAGAGAUCGGAAGGAACACCAGUGGCGAAGGCGGCUACAUGGACUAGCACUGUCACUGAGGCACGAAAGCGUGGGGAGCAAACA